CCUGCCCUUCAGUGGGGAACAACGGUUGGAAACGACCGCUAAUACCGCAUAACAUAGCGGGGUCGCAUGACUCUGUUAUCAAAGGAGCAAUUCGCUGAAGGAUGGACUCGCGUCCGAUUAGCUAGUUGGUGAGAUAAAGGCCCACCAAGGCGACGAUCGGUAGCCGAACUGAGAGGUUGAUCGGCCGCAUUGGGACUGAGACACGGCCCAGACUCCUACGGGAGGCAGCAGUGGGGGAUAUUGCACAAUGGGGGAAACCCUGAUGCAGCAAUGCCGCGUGAGGGAAGAAGGUCUUCGGAUUGUAAACCUAAGUUGUCAGGGACGAAACAAAUGACGGUACCUGAAAAGAAAGCUCCGGCUAACUACGUGCCAGCAGCCGCGGUAAUACGUAGGGAGCGAGCGUUGUCCGGAUUUACUGGGUGUAAAGGGUGCGUAGGCGGGUUUGCAAGUCAGGCGUGAAAUACCGAGGCUCAACUUCGGAGCUGCGCUUGAAACUGUAGAUCUUGAGUGAAGUAGAGGCAAGCGGAAUUCCUAGUGUAGCGGUGAAAUGCGUAGAUAUUAGGAGGAACACCAGUGGCGAAGGCGGCUUGCUGGGCUUUAACUGACGCUGAGGCACGAAAGCAUGGGGAGCAA
This 633-nucleotide ribosomal RNA is filed under the name uncultured bacterium. RNAcentral's name for it is "bacterial SSU rRNA". It matches the Rfam family "Bacterial small subunit ribosomal RNA", at positions 125 to 771 of the family's 1533-position model. The record is from RNAcentral.